UACGUAGGGUGCGAGCGUUGUCCGGAAUUAUUGGGCGUAAAGGGCUCGUAGGCGGUCCAUCGCGUCGGGAGUGAAAAGCUGGGGCUUAACCCCAGUCCUGCUUUCGAUACGGGUGGACUAGAGGUAGGCAGGGGAGAAUGGAAUUCCUGGUGUAGCGGUGAAAUGCGCAGAUAUCAGGAGGAACACCAGUGGCGAAGGCGGCUCACUGGUCCGGUACUGACGCUGAGGUGCGAAAGCGUGGGGAGCAAACAGG
Molecule: ribosomal RNA, 253 nt
Filed under: uncultured bacterium
Lineage: Bacteria
Description: partial 16S ribosomal RNA
Rfam family: Bacterial small subunit ribosomal RNA
Source: RNAcentral